GCCGGCCGUGGGGAGCGGACGCAGUGAUUUGCUCCCCCUCGUGCAGCAACCCCCACACCCAGCACCAGGAGCCUGUUCCUCUCACGCCCUCACCUGGCUGAGCCGCAGUAGUUCUUCAGUGGCAAGCUUUAUGUCCUGACCCAGCUAAAGCUGCCAGUUGAAGAACUGUUGCCCUCUGCCCCUGGCUUCGAGGAGGAGGAGGAGCUGCUUUCCCCAUCAUCUGGAAGGCUUUCUGCCUCCGAGAUGUGGCACCAUAGUGCGGUGCCCUGUGGCUUCACCGCCCUACUUCCACCUCCGCCCAGCCUGUAAUGUUUAUAUAAGCAGCCUCAAGGACCAAGAACCAUCUGCGAAAGGACACACACAGGAAAUUCAUAAAAGAAAUCUGAAUGGAUAAAACCAUGAAAAAAAAGUAUGCUUCAUUAGUAAUUAAAGAAAGGCAAAUAGAGCUGGAAGCAUUUUUCCCUUAGCAAACCAUAACAGAAAAAAAUAAGACCCGAUAUUAGCAAAGAGACUACUGAAAAAACAUUCCCAUACAU
This 536-nucleotide long non-coding RNA is filed under the name Pan troglodytes (chimpanzee). RNAcentral describes it as "lincRNA". The stretch from base 96 to 179 matches the Rfam family "mir-22 microRNA precursor family". Lineage: Eukaryota; Metazoa; Chordata; Mammalia; Primates; Hominidae. The record is from RNAcentral.